Molecule: unclassified non-coding RNA, 6189 nt
Filed under: Limulus polyphemus (Atlantic horseshoe crab)
Lineage: Eukaryota; Metazoa; Arthropoda; Merostomata; Xiphosura; Limulidae
Description: attractin-like, transcript variant X1
Source: RNAcentral
UCUACUAGUUUCUACGACAUGGCCCUAUAUCGGCCAUGGAAAAUGGGUUACCGAUGUGUUAUGAUCUUAAAACGGUAGCAAAACGUUCAAAGAAAGUAUUAAGGGUAUUAACUUCUCUAAUACUUAAGUUACUUAUUAUUUUGUUAAUGACACAAAUUUUUGUUGAACGAACAUUUGCUGCAUACCGAGGUUCAUGUGAAAGUGAAAAAAAUGAGUGUUUACAUGGAAUUUGUCGGAAUGGAGAAUGUGUUUGUGACAGGGGCUGGAAAGGGGAGUCGUGUCAUUUAUGUGGUGGACGUAAUAUGUUGAUGUCAUCUUCUGGAAUCAUCAGUGAUGGUGCUGGUAAUUACAGCCUUGAUACUCAGUGUGCUUGGUUAAUAGAUAGUGGGGAGAGAAAUGCAACAAUUCACCUGGAGUUAGUUAAUUUUGAAACACAGUGUAGCAGGGACCAUUUGUACAUCUUUGAUGGAGACUCCAUUUUCUCUCCACUUGUGGCUGCAUUCAGUGGUCAUUACAGAAUAGGAGAAAAUCCAUUACACCAGCAAGAAGUUAUGACACAUUCGGGUUCAGCCUUUCUGUUCUUUUUUAGUGACAGUUCGUAUAACAUGAGUGGUUUUACUCUCUUUUACAGAAUAAAUGGGUGUCCGCUGAAUUGCUCGGAGCAUGGAGUAUGCGUAGAUAAUCAGUGUACCUGCUGGGCAGGUUGGGCUGGAAAAGAUUGCAGUUACCCAGUAUGUCCAGGAAACUGUAACCAUGGCACUUGUGACCGUGAGAACCACCACUGUAUAUGUGACUCUGAAUUUAGAGGUCCUGAUUGCAGUAUGUCAACAUCUGAAGGGGGAUGGGAGGUAGUAACUGGAGAAGGAACAGUAGUUCCAAGGGCCCUACAUCAGUCAUUAAUAUAUGAAGAUGUAUUGUGGGUGUUUGGGGGUGAAAGUUUUAAUCGAGAAGUCUUCCUGAAUGUUGCCAAAUUCAACUUCUCCAGUAAAUCAUGGGAAAACAUUGACUAUGUUGGGACUGAAAUUUCUCGCUGCUUACAUGGCCACUCUGUGGUAAUCUAUAAAGACCACAUGUAUGUGUUUGGAGGAAAGGAGAAGAACAGUGUUGUCGUGAAAGACUUUUGGUCAUUUGAUUUUUUGAACUGGUCAUGGAAAGAAGUGCUAGACUAUAAUGCAGAAAAAGAUUGUCUCACAGACCUCUGCAGUCCUGUAGCAGUUGUAGGUCACACAGCUAAUAUGGUGGGAGACAGGAUGAUUGUCAUAUUUGGGUAUAAUCCUGUAUUUGGCCACCUUAAUAUUGUACAAGAGUUCAGUUUUUUGUGGAACAGUUGGAAAACAGUGCAAACAAAUGGAGCCAUUGUGAAAGGUGGAUACGGACACACCAGUGUUUAUGAUGAGGCUACUCAGUUUAUUUAUGUACAUGGAGGAUAUCAUUCCCAAGGUGAAUGGGGUGAAGUAGUUGAUGUGUUAUAUGCUUACCAUCCCUUCCACCAGUCUUGGACAAUUCUGUCUCCUAGUGGAUCUUAUCGUUACCUUCAUAGUGCAGCUGUUCUUCAGGGCAUGCUUCUUAUUUAUGGUGGGAGCACCCAUAAUGACUCAGUUUUCAAUGCUGGAGACAAGUGCUAUUCUGCAGACUUUUUAGCUUAUGAUAUUGGCUGUGAUACUUGGCAUAUUUUGAAGUCACAGGCUGCAUUUGUUCCAGACCUUGAACGUUUUGGUCACACUGCAGUAACAUAUGAUGGGUCUAUGUAUGUUUUUGGUGGUUUUAAUGGUCAACUGAUGUCCAGUUUGCUCAAGUUCACCCCAGGAAGCUGUGAGAUUAAUGAAUCUUCUGAAGGUUGUGAAAUGUCACUUCCUGGACGAAAGUGUUGGUGGAAUUUUAACAAAAAAACUUGUGAACCAGUGUUUCAUACCUUAACAUAUAAAUCAUCCCAUCUCUCCUGCCAUAGAAGGAAUAUUAAUUUCACUUCCCUUUGUGAGAAGUUGACAUCCUGCCCCAGUUGUCUUGCCAACACGUAUGGUUGUGUAUGGUGUGGUUCUCUGUGCUCCUAUAAACGAUGUCCAAAGUCACAGAAAAAAACCAUUAGUUUAGAAGCAUGUGAAGAUACUGAAAGCAGCAACUGUGAUAAGCUCCAUGUGUGCCAUGCUUGCCACACUGAAUACCAUUGUGGGUGGGAAGCUAAGAGAAGGAGUUGUACAUUUGUUAGAGAAAUAAGUAACAAAACAGAGAAAGCAUUUAUGUCGAAUGACUUAAGAGUCACCUGUGAACCACCCUGUAGUAAUAGAUCAACAUGUGAAUAUUGUAUUGAAGGUAAUUGUGUUUGGUGCAGCAAUCAGAAGCAAUGUCUGGAAAAAAAUGCCUUAACAGCAAUGUUUCCUAUUGCCCAGUGCAUGGAAGUAGCUGCUAACAUUCAAAAGUGUGUAGGUUUAGAGUGUAAAGACGUUCAAAAUGUAGGGGAUUGUCAAGAGAAUCCUCGAUGUGGGUGGUGUGAUGAUGGUAGCGGAACUGGAAGAGGAACCUGUAUGGAGGGAGGAUACGCAGGACCAGUCACAUGGAAUGGUGUCUCCUAUUCUGUAAACACAUCUAUCUGUUCUGAAGAAAGAUGGUUUUUUACUUCUGUUCCUGAAUGCCAGUGUAAUGGCCACAGUACUUGUAUUAAUGGAAGUGCUGUGUGUAAACAACCAUGUCAACACCUGACUGAAGGAAAACAGUGUGAGCGUUGUAUUGAUGGUUAUUAUGGAAAUCCAGUGAAUGGAAGAAAUUGUGCACAAUGCUUUUGUAAUGGCCAUGGGGUAAUGUGCCAUCACAAAACAGGACAUUGUUACUGUACCACAAAAGGAAUAAUUGGUCAUAACUGUAGCAGUUGUGAUGAAAUUAAACAUUAUCUUGGAAAUCCAGAAGAUGGGGGAACUUGUUUCUAUAAUCUUGAUAUUGGGUUCAAGUACACAUUUGACAUGACAAAGAGUGAAGAUAAGUUCUAUAAUCGAAUAAACUUACUGAAUGUUCCUAAAGAAACUGAUAUUGAUGUUGAAUUUUCAAUCACCUGCUCGGGUGCAGCACUUGUUAACGUUUCUGUUGCCUCAGCUUUACUGCCUGAGCAGCCUUUGCUAGUAUUUCAUGAAUGUAAUAAAACCAAGCUUCACUUUGCUCAUAAACAGCAUUAUUUUGGUGCAAAGAAUACAACAUUUUUUGUGUAUGUUUUCAACUUCAAGACUCCAAUCAUCAUAGAAAUCUCCUUCUCCCAGCACAAAUCUCUUGACCUUCUCCAGUUCUUCAUCACGUUUUCUAGCUGUUUCCUUACACUUCUUGUCAUUGCUGCUGUACUCUGGAAGGUAAAACAAAAGUAUGACUUGUACAGAAGAAGACAGCAAUUGUUUGUUGAGAUGGAACAGAUGGCUAGCAGACCAUUUGCUGGAGUUCUUCUAUCAGUAGAUAACCUUGACUUGUCUGAAAUUAGCGAAAAUACUGAUUCUUCAUAUCCUGCCCCUGUGGCUUUAGAACCAUGUUUGGGGGGUAAAGCAGCAGUACUUAGCCUGAUUGUCAAAUUGCCAACUAAUAACGAGAAUUACACUCCCCAAGGCCAGUGUGGUAUAGCCAUAGCUAGUGCUCUAGUAUCAUUAGGAAACCUGAAAAAAACAACUACGGCAGUGACAACUACUCCGGUGAUUAAGGAAGAAGGGAAAGUAGAACUUUGGAAGCCUCACAAUCACAGUGGAACUUAUAUAUGAUUACGAGUGAAUUUGGAUGUUUCAAGAUGCUUCAGUAAAGUCUACUACAGCUUUCAAAUUAAUGCCAGUGAUGUGACAGAACUGUUAUUAAUGAUAUUUUAGUGUCUCAAAAAAAAAAAGCCUGUGUCAUAAUUUUAAGCAUGUUUAUAUUUCUAAUAAUGUUGAAUGGUAGUGCAACAUUAUGUUUUGUCAUGAUAUAGUAGUAAAUAUUUAAAUUGAAGAAUCAUAAAAAUCUUUUAAGUUUUCCUACAGUGAAAUAUUUUAGGAACUGGGUAAAUUAUCAACAUUAGGUUGUACUUGCAUUGUAACCAGAUGUGUGACCUACAUAUUAAAGGUCAGUCAUUUGAUCAGUUUAUAACAUUUUGCUUAGAGUUGAGACAUUCAUGCUAUAAUUCAUUUUAGAUAUUUUAUCAAAAUGGUAAAUUUUGAUAGAAAUUGAAUUAACUGAACAGGAAAUAGUUAUGCCAGCUAGAUAUUACAUGAGUUUCCAACUUGAUUCAACAUGAACAAAUUAGAAUUUAGCUGUGUGUUGUUCAAUUUGAUCUUAUGUUCUAAUAACUGUAGACAAAUUUUAAUAACUUUCACUGGCUGAUUGUUUGGAAAAAUUUAAACAAUUUGAACUUGAUUAACAAUUUAUAUCAAAAAUUUGACUUUUUGUUUUAUAAUGUGAUUUUGAUUGGAGUACCAAACUUCAUGUUUACAGAACCACCACUUUGUGUAUUAACAUAUUUGUUAUUUAAACACAUCUGUUAGAAAAUACUGAUAGACUUUGGUAGAUGCUUUUCUAUGUCAUAUUCAUGAUAGUAAUUUCUAAUUAAUUUGGCAGUUCAAAAUUUCUUUGAAUGGCAUGUGAUUUUAAUUUUAUCAACAUAUGUUAUUAGGAAAUAUAAAAUUGUCAAAUGAAAACUUUUUUUUUCAAACUGUUUCACUGUUAAAUAAAAGUUCUGUGCAUUUACGAAAACUUGAUUUUAUAGAAAACUUAAAAAUACUUCUGGUGAAAGGAACAUUUUGUGUUAAAGAGAAUUGGAUGUUAAUUUUUUCUUUAAACUGUGAUUAUGGAUUUAUGCAGUUUCUUUGAAACUAGUCUCCUGUAAAAUCACAUCUCAUAAUUUAUAAUGAGGCAAUUGAGAUAAUGUAAGGAUUGAUGACAUGACAAUCUUUUUCUGUGUAUGAUCUUAUUCAUACAAAAUUGUAUUGGGAGGAAAAGAGAUCAAUUUAUUUAUAUGUCUACCUACAUUUUUCAUUGUAAGUAAAAUCUUUAGAUGUAUUUUGAACUUUUUACAGUAACUCACAACCAGAAAACUUUAAGUAAAUCUUAAAUAGAACAGUGACAUUAGAAACGAAGGUGCAUUUUUACUUCUUUAAAAACCUUGUUUUGGAACAAUAAACUAAGGCUGCAUUCAUAAAAAUUAAUGAUAAUCCUUACAGUGUUGGUUUUGGUCUGUGUGAAUUUUCUGUAGUAUUAACUCUACAGGAAAAGCCAUUUCUUUAAAACUUAGUUAGGUCUUAGGAAGUAUUGUUGGUUUGUAAAACCAAUGAUGUACUGCUACUGAGAUGGGUGCAGAAGUGGAUCAGCUGACUGUGGCAUACACUUUGUUGUAUAGAAGCCAAUGAAAUUAUCUGAUCAGGACCAGUCAACACGUAACUCUAAGACUUCAGGCGGAUAGUGCUUUAGUCUGUGCUCGUUCUCUAACUUUAUCUUAAUACAGCAAAAGAGAUUCCUGAGAUAUUAAGUCACUUCUUUUUCACAUGAAAUUAUCCAUUGUUUUGUCAACCUUAUAUGCUUUGUGGCACAACAAAUAUUUGUAUCCACAUUUUAGUUGUCUUCUAGACUUUAUCUCCAUGGCAUCUAAUGGUUACUCUCAACAUUUUAUCAGGUUGUACUCAAGUUAUACACCAGGUAGUUGUAGUCCUAAAGAAAGAAUUGAAAAUCACAUGUUGCACACUUUAACUUCUUUUUUAAGGUAAAUGGUUAUAAAAACAUCAACUUGAACAAAGCAGCCCUAGUCAUCAUGAAAGCAAAAUAACAGAAAUCAUAGUAUAGUAACAUCACAGAAAAUGUAUGUUUAAAUUAUGCCAAGUUUAUCUCUACUAUAGUUUGUAUUUUUGCACUUCUCUGUGAAUACCAUGAAAAGGAGCUUCAUAGUUAUUCAAAACCUUAAACAUUGUUUAUAUGCUGGAUUUAAGUUAAUUAUAGCUACACUUGCAUUUAUAAUGAAAAGGAAUGAUCAAAUGGAACUACUUUAUAGGUUUCUGAUUCUGAUAAUUAAUUUUUUAAUUUGGGUAAGAAUUCUAUGAAAGUCAUUUAUAUUAUAAUUCUGGUUCUUGUGCAUUUAAAAUGAACAUUAAUUAUAAGCCUAGUAUUUGACCAUUGAAUGUAAUAGAUAACAAAAUGACUUUUUUUUGUACAGAUUGUAAUAUAUGAAUGAACCAACUGUCAAUAAAGGUAGUUAAAUUUUUA